Molecule: ribosomal RNA, 253 nt
Filed under: uncultured bacterium
Lineage: Bacteria
Description: partial 16S ribosomal RNA
Rfam family: Bacterial small subunit ribosomal RNA
Source: RNAcentral
UACGUAGGGUGCAAGCGUUAAUCGGAAUUACUGGGCGUAAAGCGUGCGCAGGCGGUUAUGCAAGACAGAUGUGAAAUCCCCGGGCUCAACCUGGGAACUGCAUUUGUGACUGCAUGGCUAGAGUACGGCAGAGGGGGAUGGAAUUCCACGUGUAGCAGUGUAAUGCGUAGAUAUGUGGAGGAACACCGAUGGCGAAGGCAAUCCCCUGGGCCUGUACUGACGCUCAUGCACGAAAGCGUGGGGAGCAAACAGG